Molecule: ribosomal RNA, 504 nt
Filed under: uncultured bacterium
Lineage: Bacteria
Description: partial 16S ribosomal RNA
Rfam family: Bacterial small subunit ribosomal RNA
Source: RNAcentral
AUUGAACGCUGGCGGCAUGCCUUACACAUGCAAGUCGAACGGCAGCAUGGAGAGCUUGCUCUCUGAUGGCGAGUGGCGAACGGGUGAGUAAAGCAUCGGAACGUACCGUGUAGUGGGGGAUAACGUAGCGAAAGUUGCGCUAAUACCGCAUACGCACUGAGGGUGAAAGUGGGGGACCGCAAGGCCUCAUGCUAUAGGAGCGGCCGAUGUCUGAUUAGCUAGUUGGUGGGGUAAAGGCCUACCAAGGCGACGAUCAGUAGCUGGUCUGAGAGGACGAUCAGUCACACUGGGACUGAGACACGGCCCAGACUCCUACGGGAGGCAGCAGUGGGGAAUUUUGGACAAUGGGCGAAAGCCUGAUCCAGCAAUGCCGCGUGUGUGAAGAAGGCCUUCGGGUCGUAAAGCACUUUUGUCCGGAAAGAAAUGGCUCCGGUUAAUACCUGGGGUCGAUGACGGUACCGGAAGAAUAAGGACCGGCUAACUACGUGCCAGCCGCCGCGGUAA